This 74-nucleotide transfer RNA is filed under the name Stegodyphus mimosarum. It matches the Rfam family "tRNA". Rfam says of the family: Transfer RNA (tRNA) molecules are approximately 80 nucleotides in length. Their secondary structure includes four short double-helical elements and three loops (D, anti-codon, and T loops). Lineage: Eukaryota; Metazoa; Arthropoda; Arachnida; Araneae; Eresidae. The record is from Rfam by way of RNAcentral.
GCCUUCGUGAUGUAAUAGGCCAGCACACUUGGCUCGCAUUCGAGAGAUCCGUGGUUCGAGUCCCGGCGAGGACA